CAGUCGAGCGGAACGAUGGGAGCUUGCUCCCAGGCGUCGAGCGGCGAACGGGUGAGUAACGCGUAGGAAUCUGCCUGGUAGAGGGGGAUAGCUCGGGGAAACUCGAAUUAAUACCGCAUACGCCCUACGGGGGAAAGCAGGGGAUCUUCGGACCUUGCGCUAUCAGAUGAGCCUGCGUCGGAUUAGCUAGUUGGUGGGGUAAAGGCCCACCAAGGCGACGAUCCGUAACUGGUCUGAGAGGAUGAUCAGUCACACCGGAACUGGGACACGGUCCGGACUCCUACGGGAGGCAGCAGUGGGGAAUAUUGGACAAUGGGGGCAACCCUGAUCCAGCCAUGCCGCGUGUGUGAAGAAGGCCUUCGGGUUGUAAAGCACUUUAAGCAGGGAGGAAAGGGGCAGGACUAAUAAUCCUGUCAGUUGACGUUACCUGCAGAAUAAGCACCGGCUAACUUCGUGCCAGCAGCCGCGGUAAUACGAAGGGUGCAAGCGUUAAUCGGAAUUACUGGGCGUAAAGCGCGCGUAGGCGGUUUGAUUAGUUGGAUGUGAAAGCCCAGGGCUCAACCUUGGAACUGCAUCCAAUACUGUCAGGCUAGAGUACGGGAGAGGGGGGUAGAAUUCCACGUGUAGCGGUGAAAUGCGUAGAGAUGUGGAGGAAUACCGGUGGCGAAAGGCGGCCCCCUGGAUCGAUACUGACGCUGAGGUGCGAAAGCGUGGGGAGCAAACAGGAUUAGAUACCCUGGUAGUCCACGCCGUAA
This 755-nucleotide ribosomal RNA is filed under the name uncultured bacterium. RNAcentral's name for it is "bacterial SSU rRNA". It matches the Rfam family "Bacterial small subunit ribosomal RNA", at positions 59 to 805 of the family's 1533-position model. The record is from RNAcentral.